AAUAAACGUAAUUGUUGGUUGUAGUGUCCAUCUUUAACUAUCCGUCUCAUUUAAAAAAAAUUUAUGAUUAGUACUUUUAUUGUUAUUAGAUGAUACAAUGUAAAUAGUAUUUUAUGCGUGACUUAACUUUUAAUUUUUUUAUAAUUUUUUUAAAUAGACGAAUGGUUAAACAUUGGGGAUAAAAACUCAUUUCUGCACUUAUA
Oryza glaberrima (African rice) is the source of this 203-nucleotide non-coding RNA. The record is from Rfam. Lineage: Eukaryota; Viridiplantae; Streptophyta; Magnoliopsida; Poales; Poaceae.